GACACCGAACUAAAAUCCAAAAGUGGGAGAGAUUUGUAGCAAGUGCAUAAAGAGUCAUGGGUGGGUUAAAAGUUCUACCAGAAAUGAAUGCGCUGUUAGUUCACUUUGGCACUGAAUGGAAAGCCUUUAGGGAAUGAUCAAAGCAAACGUGACGAGGGUUGAUUGCUUAGUGGAAAAGGGAACUAAUCAAAAUGGAUCGUGCGUUAUGUAUGUUUCCUGUAUGGCUUAUUGAUGAGGAGGUGAACAGAAGAAAUCAUCACUUUGGUUUAUUCAUCCUGAUGACUCUCAACCAUCGUUUUAGAGAAUGCCAUAUUUGGGUGACGCCACUCUUAUCUGAGAUGAUGAGAGAAUCGUGUUCCAUCGAUCCGUUUACAAAAUUUUCUGUGUGAAAGGUUUAUUUUGGUUAUAAUUAGUUUCAUCGAAUUUCCAGAUGGUCCUUUGAUCUCUCUAUCAUGAUAUAUACGUAACCUAACUAAUUAAUGGCUUUCAGAUUUACAUCAAAGCUAAGAACGUGUUUUUGUUGUGGUUAAUUCAUUGUAUUAAUGUAUUACCAGCGUGGUGCUGUCUUUUCCUAUUUCAAGUUUGGAAGCUUGUUCUCGUUGUUGCUCUA
Nelumbo nucifera (sacred lotus) is the source of this 610-nucleotide non-coding RNA. The record is from RefSeq and is a predicted model, not a curated record. NCBI's taxonomy places the organism in Eukaryota, Viridiplantae, Streptophyta, Magnoliopsida, Proteales, Nelumbonaceae.